AGAAUGGAGAGAGCCAGGGGCAGGCAGGGUGGGUGUUCCAGAGAGAGGGCACCGUACAAGCAGAGGUGCACAGGAGAGCAUGACCAACUCCGGGCUCAGAACAGGAGGGCGGCCACCGGGUGGGCCUUAAUGUCCUGGUUCAGAAAGCCAACAAGUUCACCCCAGCCACCCGCCUUCUCAUCCAGAGGUUUGUGCCGUUCCCUGCUGUAGCCAGUGCCAAUAUCUGCAAUGUGGUCCUGAUGCGGUACGGGGAGCUGGAGGAAGGGAUUGAUGUCCUGGACAGCGAUGGCAACCUCGUGGGCUCCUCCAAGAUUGCAGCCCGACACGCCCUGCUGGAGACGGCGCUGACGCGAGUGGUCCUGCCCAUGCCCAUCCUGGUGCUACCCCCGAUCGUCAUGUCCAUGCUGGAGAAAAUGUCAUCUCCAUGAGGCACGUCCAUCCUUUUGUUCACUGCCCUGCCCAGCAUCUAGCACAGUUCCUGCCACACAAUAGAUGCUCAGACGGCUCUCCUGCAGGCACGCCCCCGGCUGCUCCUCCCUGUGCAAA
This 546-nucleotide small RNA is filed under the name Pan troglodytes (chimpanzee). Its description in RNAcentral is "processed transcript". The record is from RNAcentral. Lineage: Eukaryota; Metazoa; Chordata; Mammalia; Primates; Hominidae.